GUCAAAAGCAUAGGAAAAACACCGUUCGAAAGUAGAAAAAUAAAUAUUUUUGCGAAGUUGCUCAACCGAUCUUCAUUUUGGAACUCAAAUUUGAAAGAUAAAUGGUAAGUGGUUAUUUUUAUGUAAAAAUAUAUACGUUUAUAGGCUAAAUACAAAGAAAAAAUAGUAUAAUACAAAUUACAAUCUCGGUGCUUGUGAUGUUCUUGCCAAGAAGCAGAUUCCCAUUUCGCUAAAUUAAUGCGGGCCAAACGUAUUGCUUUCCUGUCUUUUACAUUAAUAAGAAAGCAUAGGUGCUGAUUUGAAACACGUCCAUCAGGUUCCAUGCAUGUAGCUUUGCGAUUUGUGAGCAAAAAUUAAAUAAUACUUUCUGUGCAACUAAUAACCACAUUCACAAAUAUAUUCUCCAGCAAAGAAACGUUUCUUUACGGAUUGUUAAUCCGCAUUUGAAGGCAUGCUUAUGCCUUCAAAGGUCAGAGGUCUUCACAUGCAGAAUAGCAGAGACUAGUGUCAUUGACAUCCUUUGUCACAAAAUUAUGAUGGCAUAUUGGACAGCUAUGUUGGAUAAGGCACUUCCUUAAUAAAUAGCUUGACACAUAAGUUCAUGCAGACUAAGUUUUGUUCAAUUUCAUUUGUUUUGUAGUCGGUAUCUUCAACUGCUUGGAUUAGUGGUGGGCUUGUCUGAUCAUUUCCUGCAGAUAAAUCAGAUUGGCUAGGGUGAAAUGCAAUCAAAUAGGCAUCAGAAUCUUCAGCACAGCUGCCAAUUGAAAGUGGUGUCAAAACAUUAUCUACAAAUAAUAUGCAAAAUGCUCUGGUGAACUGGAUGGGACUAAUUGGUUGUCCCAAUCCCCCCCUGCUGCCUAAUGAGGCCAAAGAAGUUCUCCAGAGGAUCUUGUCAUGAGAAACUCCAAGGAAUGAUGUUGGUUAAGGUCUUGAAAUGUAAAUACUACAGUGUAAUAACUACUGACAGUGUAAAUACUACAACAGUGAAAUGUAAAUACAACAGUGUAAUUGGGGUUUAAAAAUACAAAGUUUAUUUUAAUAAAUGUUGUUUAUUUUAUGUCACAUUUAUAUACAUUUAAGAACUUAAAUUAUUCAAAAACUAAAUAAAUUAAAUAUGUGUUCAAUGUCAAUGAAUAUUGCUAUAUUCUAAAUUUUUUAUUCCAAAAUAGGCAAUAACUGUUUCCUUUAUAGUUGACCCCACAUGUUGUCAUGAAAAUU
This is a non-coding RNA of Paramuricea clavata, 1218 nucleotides long. The record is from the annotation of a GenBank genome assembly. Lineage: Eukaryota; Metazoa; Cnidaria; Anthozoa; Malacalcyonacea; Plexauridae.